Molecule: ribosomal RNA, 2672 nt
Filed under: Planctomycetota bacterium
Lineage: Bacteria; Pseudomonadati; Planctomycetota
Description: bacterial LSU rRNA
Rfam family: Bacterial large subunit ribosomal RNA
Source: RNAcentral
CCAAGUAACUAAGCGUGCAUGGAGGAUGCUUAGGCGUCAAGAGCCGAUGAAAGACGUGGCAUAGCUGCGAUAAGCCUCGGGGAGCUGCUAAGUAAGCAUUGAUCCGGGGAUUUCUUAGAUGCGGAAACGCGAUCAGGGUCAUGCCUGAUCAGCCCAUGGUGAAUCCAUAGCCAUGGGCGGGGAACGCAGGGAAUUGAAACAUCUUAGUACCUGCAGGAAUAGAAAGAAAACUCGACUCCCUCAGUAGCGGCGAGCGAACGGGGAAUAGCCCAAACCGUUGUCAUGUAAGGUUGUGGCCGUUGUGCCAGCGGUGUUGUGGGGCCUUCCGGUAGUGCCACUGAACUACCAAGGAGUUACAAAUCUUCGAGCUAGGCAAAGGGUCUGGAAAGUCCCGCCGUAGAGAGUGAUAGCCUCGUAGCUGAAAGUUCGGAGACUCCUGAAGUCACCCCAAGUAGUGCCAGACACGAGAAACCUGGUGUGAAUCCACGGGGACCACCCCGUAAGGCUAAGUACUCCUUGACGACCGAUAGCGACUAGUACCGUGAGGGAAAAGUGAAAAGCACCCCUUUGAGGGGAGUGAAAAGUACCUGAAACCAUGUACGUACAAGCGGUCGGAGGCCUAUGCCCCUUGUGGGAAUGGCUGACGGCGUGCCUUUUGCAUAAUGAUCCGGCGACUUACGAUACAGGGCAAGGUUAAGCGUCUCCGGCGCGAAGCCGAAGCGAAAGCGAGUGCGAAUAGCGCGAUUCAAGUCAUGUGUCGUAGACCCGAAAGCAGGUGAUCUAACCAUGGGCAGGGUGAAGCGGAUGUAACAGUUCGUGGAGGCCCGAACCAAUGAAGGUUGAAAACUUCUUGGAUGACUUGUGGUUAGGAGUAAAAAGCUAAUCGAACCUGCAGAUAGCUGGUUCUCCCCGAAAUAGCUUUCGGGCUAGCGUCGGGUAACAUAGCGCACGGGGGUAGAGAUACUGAUUGCGACUGGGGGGCCACCAGCCUACCCACCGCUACCAAACUCCGAAUACCGUGCGUGGUACCCCGGCAGUCAGACAGUGGGCGAUAAGGUUCAUUGUCGAAAGGGAAACAGCCCAGACCGCCAGCUAAGGUCCCCAAGUAACACUAAGUGUAAGAAAGGAGCUGGGAUUGCUAAGACAGCCAGGAUGUUGGCUUAGAAGCAGCCAUCAUUUAAAGAGUGCGUAAUAGCUCACUGGUCGAGCAGUCCUGGGCCGAUAAUGAACGGGACUCAAGUGUUACACCGAAGCUGCGGAUCCAAGAGGCCUGGUGCCUCGUGGGUGGUAGGGGAGCGUUGAAUUUGCGUCGAAGCCGUACGGGAACGAGCGGUGGAGCGGAUUCAAGUGCUUAUGCCGGAAUGAGUAACGAUAAACAGGGUGAGAAUCCCUGUCGCCGAAAACCUAAGGUUUCCUGGGGAAGGUAAAUCCGCCCAGGGUUAGUCGGGACCUAAGGCGAGGCCGAAAGGCGUAGUCGAUGGACAACGGGUCAACAUUCCCGUACUACCGGAGAUCAUUUGACCGAUGGUGUGACGGAUUCACAAGAAUCGUCGGGGCGAUAGUCGUCCCCGUGCAAGCCUGAGGAACGCAGUAGGUAAAUCCGCUGCUUCAGUUCCAGGGGUGAUGCCGAGGCUUCGGCCGAAGCGAUUGGAGUGGGUUCCUGGAAAAGCAUCUAGGGAGAUCAAAGGUACCCGUACCAAAACUGACACAGGUUGGUAGGAAGAGGAUUCCAAGGCGCUCGAGAUAACCUCAGUUAAGGAACUCGACAGAUUGGCCCCGUAAGUUCGCGAGAAGGGGCGCCCCUCGGGGUGUAGGUGCUUGCCACCGAAGCUCUAGGGGGUCACAGAAAAUCGGGGGUGGCGACUGUUUACCUCAAACACAGGACUCUGCAAAGUCUUAAAGACGAAGUAUAGGGUCUGACGCCUGCCCAAUGCCGGAAGGUUAAGAGGAGUUGUUAGCUUCGGCGAAGCAGCGAAUUGAAGCCCCGGUGAAUGGCGGCCGUAACUAUGACGGUCCUAAGGUAGCGAAGUUCCUUGUCGGGUAAGUUCCGACGCGCACGAAUGGCGUAACGACUGCCCCAUUGUCUCAACUGAGGGCUCGGUGAAAUUGUAGUCGAGGUGAAGAUGCCUCGUAGCCGCACCAAGACGGAAAGACCCCGUGAACCUUUACUGUAGCCUGAUAUUGGGCUCUGGCACAGCAUGUGUAGCAUAGGUGGGAGGCUUUGAAGCGGGCACGCUAGUGUUCGUGGAGCCACAAUGUGAAAUACCACCCCUGCUGUGUUAGUGUUCUAACUCGGUCCCGUGAAUCCGGGCCGAGGACAGUUUCAGGUGGGCAGUUUGGCUGGGGCGGUCUCCUCCCAAAGAGUAACGGAGGAGCCCGAUGGCACACUCAGAGUGGUUAGCAAUCACUCGUAGAGCGUAAGGGUAUAAGUGUGCUUAACUGUGAGACUUAUCAGUCGAGCAGGUGUGAAAGCAGGGCCUAGUGAUCCGGCGAAUUCCGAGUGGAAGGGUCGUCGCUCAUCAGAUAAAAGGUACUCCGGGGAUAACAGGCUGAUCUCCCCCAAGAGUCCACAUCGACGGGGAGGUUUGGCACCUCGAUGUCGGCUCAUCGCAUCCUGGGGCUGGAGAAGGUCCCAAGGGUUUGGCUGUUCGCCAAUUAAAGCGGUACGUGAG